This 412-nucleotide ribosomal RNA is filed under the name uncultured bacterium. RNAcentral's name for it is "bacterial SSU rRNA". It matches the Rfam family "Bacterial small subunit ribosomal RNA", at positions 355 to 794 of the family's 1533-position model. The record is from RNAcentral.
UGGGGAAGUCUUGCGCAAUGGGCGAAAGCCUGACGCAGCGACGCCGCGUGCGGGAAGAAGGCCUUCGGGUUGUAAACCGCUUUCAGGAGGGAAGCGGUACCUCCAGAAGAAGCCCCGGCAACUACGUGCCAGCAGCCGCGGUAAUACGUAGGGGGCAAGCGUUGUCCGGAAUUAUUGGGCGUAAAGAGCUCGUAGGCGGUCCUUAAGUCGGAAGUGAAAUCUCAAGGCUCAACUUGAAAACCGCUUUCGAUACUGGAGGACUUGAGGCAGGUAGGGGAGAGUGGAAUUCCCGGUGUAGCGUGAAAAUGCGCAGAUAUCAGGAGGAACACCAGUGGCGAAGGCGGCUCUCUGGGCCUGUCUGACGCUAAGAGCCGAAAGCGUGGGGAGCAACAGGAUUAGAUACCCCUGUAGU